Molecule: ribosomal RNA, 301 nt
Filed under: uncultured bacterium
Lineage: Bacteria
Description: partial 16S ribosomal RNA
Rfam family: Bacterial small subunit ribosomal RNA
Source: RNAcentral
CAGUCGCCGCGGUAAUACGAAGGUCCCAAGCGUUGUUCGGAAUCACUGGGCGUAAAGGGAGCGUAGGCGGCGUGGUAAGUCAGAUGUGAAAUCCCGGGGCUCAACCCCGGAACUGCAUCCGAUACUGCCAUGCUUGAGGGUUGGAGAGGUGACUGGAAUUCUCGGUGUAGCAGUGAAAUGCGUGGAUAUCGAGAGGAACACUCGUGGCGAAGGCGAGUCACUGGACAACAUCUGACGCUGAGGCUCGAAGGCUAGGGUAGCGAAAGGGAUUAGAUACCCGAGUAGUCCCUGUCUCUUAUAC